RNAcentral lists this ribosomal RNA (1168 nucleotides) under uncultured Bacteroides sp. RNAcentral describes it as "bacterial SSU rRNA". It matches the Rfam family "Bacterial small subunit ribosomal RNA", at positions 10 to 1176 of the family's 1533-position model. Lineage: Bacteria; Pseudomonadati; Bacteroidota; Bacteroidia; Bacteroidales; Bacteroidaceae. The record is from RNAcentral.
AGUUUGAUCCUGGCUCAGGAUGAACGCUAGCUACAGGCUUAACACAUGCAAGUCGAGGGGCAGCAUUGGGGUAGCAAUACUUCAGAUGGCGACCGGCGCACGGGUGAGUAACACGUAUCCAACCUGCCGCUUACUCGGGGAUAGCCUUUCGAAAGAAAGAUUAAUACCCGAUGGUAUAAAGAGUUCGCAUGUUCUCUUUAUUAAAGAAUUUCGGUAAGCGAUGGGGAUGCGUUCCAUUAGAUAGUUGGCGGGGUAACGGCCCACCAAGUCUACGAUGGAUAGGGGUUCUGAGAGGAAGGUCCCCCACAUUGGAACUGAGACACGGUCCAAACUCCUACGGGAGGCAGCAGUGAGGAAUAUUGGUCAAUGGACGCGAGUCUGAACCAGCCAAGUAGCGUGAAGGAUGACUGCCCUAUGGGUUGUAAACUUCUUUUAUAAGGGAAUAAAGUGAGGGACGUGUCCCUUUUUGUAUGUACCUUAUGAAUAAGGAUCGGCUAACUCCGUGCCAGCAGCCGCGGUAAUACGGAGGAUCCAAGCGUUAUCCGGAUUUAUUGGGUUUAAAGGGAGCGUAGGUUGACGUAUAAGUCAGCUGUGAAAGUUUACGGCUCAACCGUGAAAUUGCAGUUGAUACUGUAUGUCUUGAGUGUACAAGAGGUGGGCGGAAUUCGUGGUGUAGCGGUGAAAUGCUUAGAUAUCACGAAGAACUCCAAUUGCGAAGGCAGCUCACUGGGGUACAACUGACACUGAGGCUCGAAAGUGUGGGUAUCAAACAGGAUUAGAUACCCUGGUAGUCCACACAGUAAACGAUGAAUACUCGCUGUUUGCGACAUACAGUAAGCGGCCAAGCGAAAGCAUUAAGUAUUCCACCUGGGGAGUACGCCGGCAACGGUGAAACUCAAAGGAAUUGACGGGGGCCCGCACAAGCGGAGGAACAUGUGGUUUAAUUCGAUGAUACGCGAGGAACCUUACCCGGGCUUGAAUUGCAGAGGAACAUAGUUGAAAGAUUAUGGCCGCAAGGUCUCUGUGAAGGUGCUGCAUGGUUGUCGUCAGCUCGUGCCGUGAGGUGUCGGCUUAAGUGCCAUAACGAGCGCAACCCUUAUCAUUAGUUACUAACAGGUCAUGCUGAGGACUCUAGUGAGACUGCCGUCGUAAGAUGUGAGGAAGGUGG